AUACUUACCUGGCAAGGGAGAUACCGUGAUCAAGAAGGCGGUUCACCCAGGGCGAGGCUCAGCCAUUGCACUCCGGCUGUGCUGACCCCGGCGAAUUUCCCAAAUGUGGAAAUCUCGAUUGCAUAAUUUAUGGUAGUGGGGGACUGCGUUCGCGCUCUCCCCUG
RNAcentral lists this small nuclear RNA (164 nucleotides) under Salmo salar (Atlantic salmon). RNAcentral's name for it is "U1 spliceosomal RNA". It matches the Rfam family "U1 spliceosomal RNA". From Rfam's summary of the family: U1 is a small nuclear RNA (snRNA) component of the spliceosome (involved in pre-mRNA splicing). Lineage: Eukaryota; Metazoa; Chordata; Actinopteri; Salmoniformes; Salmonidae. The record is from Rfam by way of RNAcentral.